UAGGGAUUGAGGCGGUAUCUUUUGAGCGAAGCUCGAAAAUAAAGCCGAAAGCCCGACCGGCC
RNAcentral lists this unclassified non-coding RNA (62 nucleotides) under Pseudozobellia thermophila. RNAcentral's name for it is "Flavo-1 RNA". The record is from RNAcentral. Lineage: Bacteria; Pseudomonadati; Bacteroidota; Flavobacteriia; Flavobacteriales; Flavobacteriaceae.